CCUACGGGCGGCAGCAGUGAGGAAUAUUGGUCAAUGGGCGUAAGCCUGAACCAGCCAAGUCGCGUGAGGGAUGAAGGUUCUAUGGAUCGUAAACCUCUUUUAUAAGGGAAUAAAGUGUGGGACGUGUCCUGUUUUGUAUGUACCUUAUGAAUAAGGAUCGGCUAACUCCGUGCCAGCAGCCGCGGUAAUACGGAGGAUCCGCGCGUUAUCCGGAUUUAUUGGGUUUAAAGGGUUCGUAGGCGGCCUUUUAAGUCAGCGGUGAAAGUCUGUGGCUCAACCAUAGAAUUGCCGUUGAAACUGGGAGGCUUGAGUAUGUUUGAGGCAGGCGGAAUGCGUGGUGUAGCGGUGAAAUGCUUAGAUAUCACGCAGAACCCCGAUUGCGAAGGCAGCCUGCCAAGCCAUGACUGACGCUGAUGCACGAAAGCGUGGGGAUCAAACAGGAUUAGAUACCCCAGUAGUC
This 460-nucleotide ribosomal RNA is filed under the name uncultured bacterium. RNAcentral's name for it is "partial 16S ribosomal RNA". It matches the Rfam family "Bacterial small subunit ribosomal RNA", at positions 338 to 795 of the family's 1533-position model. The record is from RNAcentral.